RNAcentral lists this ribosomal RNA (471 nucleotides) under uncultured bacterium. RNAcentral's name for it is "partial 16S ribosomal RNA". It matches the Rfam family "Bacterial small subunit ribosomal RNA", at positions 28 to 507 of the family's 1533-position model. The record is from RNAcentral.
GACGAACGCUGGCGGCGUGCUUAACACAUGCAAGUCGAACGAUGAAGCCUAGCUUGCUAGGUGGAUUAGUGGCGAACGGGUGAGUAAUACGUGAGUGACCUACCUUUGACUCUGGGAUAAGCCUGGGAAACUGGGUCUAAUACCGGAUACGACCAAUCUCCGCAUGGGGUGUUGGUGGAAAGCGUUAUGGAGUGGUUUUAGAUGGGCUCACGGCCUAUCGGCUUGUUGGUGAGGUAAUGGCUUACCAUGGCGACGACGGGUAGCCGGCCUGAGAGGGUGACCGGCCACACUGGGACUGAGACACGGCCCAGACUCCUACGGGAGGCAGCAGUGGGGAAUAUUGCACAAUGGGCGCAAGCCUGAUGCAGCGACGCCGCGUGAGGGAUGACGGCCUUCGGGUUGUAAACCUCUGUUAGCAUCGAAGAAGCGAAAGUGACGGUAGGUGCAGAGAAAGCGCCGGCUAACUACGUG